This 537-nucleotide ribosomal RNA is filed under the name uncultured bacterium. RNAcentral describes it as "bacterial SSU rRNA". It matches the Rfam family "Bacterial small subunit ribosomal RNA", at positions 777 to 1307 of the family's 1533-position model. The record is from RNAcentral.
AAUAGAUACCCUGGUAGUCCACGCCGUAAACGGUGGGCACUAGGUGUGGGCAGCAUUCCACGUUGUCCGUGCCGUAGCUAACGCAUUAAGUGCCCCGCCUGGGGAGUACGGCCGCAAGGCUAAAACUCAAAGGGAAUUGACGGGGCCCGCACAAGCGGCGGAGCAUGUGGCUUAAUUCGACGCAACGCGAAGAACCUUACCAAGGCUUGACAUACACCGGAAACAUCCAGAGAUGGGUGCCCCCUUGUGGUCGGUGUACAGGUGGUGCAUGGCUGUCGUCAGCUCGUGUCGUGAGAUGUUGGGUUAAGUCCCGCAACGAGCGCAACCCUUGUCCCGUGUUGCCAGCAGGCCCUUGUGGUGCUGGGGACUCACGGGGAGACCGCCGGGGUCAACGUCGGAGGAAGGUGGGGACGACGUCAAGUCAUCAUGCCCCUUAUGUCUUGGGCUGCACACGUGCUACAAUGGCCGGUACAAGAGCUGCGAUACCGUGAGGUGGAGCGAAUCUCAAAAGCCGGUCUCAGUUCGGAUUGGGGUCUG